Molecule: long non-coding RNA, 1951 nt
Filed under: Junco hyemalis (dark-eyed junco)
Lineage: Eukaryota; Metazoa; Chordata; Aves; Passeriformes; Passerellidae
Description: lncRNA (ENSJHYG00000007727.1)
Source: RNAcentral
GGCAUCUGACAUGAAUCAGGAUGUAACUUAGGGGGGUUACUGAACUGUGUUAUUGAGGUGUUGAUGGCUCUCAGUUCUGCACCACAGCAGCUGAAGCUCUGUUGUAAGGGAUGGAUGACUAAAUGACAAGGCACAGAUGAUGUGCCUCCUGUGGAAGCAUCUAUGGAAGAUGUAAAUGGGUCAGCAAUAGAUGAUGCAAGAACAAGGCUGAACUUCCAGCCCAUUAGGCUCUGUGGAGCCAGGCGGCAGACGGGUGAUGUGGUGUGUCUGCAUACCUCCCCCAGGCACUGGAGAAGAGGUAAGAUGCAAAACCCUUCCUGCACUGCAAGGAGGUACAAGAUCCUUCUCAUCCUCAAGGGAACACACUGCUUCACAAACACACUGUGGCAACUUCCCGUGCCACAGGGGUGCCACGGGACAAGCUCACGGACUGUGGGAAUCACUCCUAGAAGAGACAGGGAUGGCAAAAGGAGAAGGCAUUUGCAAAGCCUUCUGAAAUGGUGCCUCCCCUGGCUAAAAGGGCUCACCUUGAAGGCACCUGAAGGGCUUCUGAGCCACUCCAGACAACUUCCCAGUGCUGACUGUCCUGUGUGAAACAAGGAACUUGGCUCAGUCAGGACGGCAGAGGUUUGUCAGAGCCUGUGUCCCACUGGAAAUGCCUUCAUUCUCCAACUUGAAGUGUUUGUCUCUUCUAUCAGCCUUGGCAGUGGGGCAGUUUAAGGGAUCACUCCACACUUCUGUUGGCAUAAAGCUGGUACCUAUUUUCCCUGUGGAAGCAGGAGUUACUGAACUGGUUUAGGUGACUGUGACUAGAGUCCCUGUGAACAGUGUGGGUUAUUUUGGCACAGGUACAGUGGAAAAGUGCUAAUCCCCUCAUCUGCACUUGUUAAACCUUUUAAUUAAAGAUCACUUUGAUGAAAGUGCAAGGCUGAGAGGUCAGGGUUUUGCUACAGCACUCACCAGAGACUCAAGAAACAGCAGCUGUGAGUGGUAGUGAGCUUUGAGAUCUGUCUUUCGAGCCCUAGUGGAAAAGAUGAAGAGGCACCAGCUCCUAUGCUCUCCAUCUCUGUGGGGCAAAGCUAGACCCAGAGGAAUUUGGGUCUGAUUCACAGCUGAGCAGGAAAGGUGACCUAGAACUGCCCCACAUCAGUGAUUUCAUGUAAGUCAUCUGACAGAUGUGUGAGGGAUUCACCAAAAGAGGGAAAUGAAUAACUUUCAAAACCACCUUGGAGGACUGGGUUCUCAGAUGAAAAAGUGCUGAAAUGUGUGGAACCCAGGAAGAAAAGUGCAGCCACAAGAGCACACGGCUCCUCUGGAAAGAAUAAGAAUGCUGUGAAUUCUGAUUGUUUGCUUGCCCUUUUUUUCCUCCUGUGGUAUUUACAGUGCCCUGGUACUCACUCAGCUUUCCUAGCUAACAGCUAGGGAGGUGGAUGGAGCUGCCUGGAAUCCUGGCACCAGACACCUGACAGGCACCUUCAUGCUUCAGGCACCCUGCAGGAGGGCAGAGCCAGCUUGGCUGUGUUCCUGUGUGGGGAACAGGACCCCAACAGAGUGGGGAUUCCCCAAUGCACCUGCCCCUCUGACUUCUGGAAGAAGUUCCUCUCAAACCUGUGUGUCAUUCCCAGGUAUCACUCCCAUUUCCCUGGGGAAAUACUGACCCUGAUGGCAGAAUAUGGUGUGUUUGAGAUGCUGAAGACACCAAACUACUGUUUGCUGGGGUCUCCAGGCUGCCAGGCUGGCUGCCAGCUUGUUAAACACUCACUGAUGUGCCAUUAGGGAGCUGAAGUGUCAUCAGUGUUAUAAACCUGAACCUGUAGCUUAAUUUAGGGGCUUGUCAGACAUAUGGUAAUGGGCUGGUAAGGCUUGGUGAAAGGUGGCAUCUGCAGGCAUCUGCACAUUUUUAAUCUAUGUAUACAAUAAAAUAUUACACAUUAGCUUUUGCUCUUGCUGG